RNAcentral lists this RNase P RNA (324 nucleotides) under Eudoraea sp. Its description in RNAcentral is "RNase P RNA component class A". It matches the Rfam family "Bacterial RNase P class A". From Rfam's summary of the family: Ribonuclease P (RNase P) is a ubiquitous endoribonuclease, found in archaea, bacteria and eukarya as well as chloroplasts and mitochondria. Its best characterised activity is the generation of mature 5'-ends of tRNAs by cleaving the 5'-leader elements of precursor-tRNAs. Lineage: Bacteria; Pseudomonadati; Bacteroidota; Flavobacteriia; Flavobacteriales; Flavobacteriaceae. The record is from RNAcentral.
UAAGCAGGUCACCUUAUCGCUUCCUGUAUUUUGCAGGAGGAGGAAAGUCCGGACACCAUAGUGCAGCAUAGCGGGUAACGCCCGUCACCCGUCCCGGUAAUAAUCGGGGUGGGGCGGACUAGUGCAACAGAAAGAAUGUACAGGUUAAGCUGUAGUGAAAUCAUGUAAACUCUAUGCGGUGAAACGCCAUGUAUAUCAGUGUUCGAGGGCGGCACGUCCAAGCUGAAGGGUAGGCGGAUAGAAUCUUUGGGUAACUGAAGAUCUAGAUAAAUGAUAAGGAACCUUUUUAAGGCUACAGAAUCCGGCUUAUGAUCUGCUUUUUUU